UACUGAUCCUAGGCUACAGCCUGUACAGCAGGUUCCUGGACUGAAUACUGCAGGCCAUGCAGCAGUGGUAUCUGCAGCCAGGCUCCCCCGAG
Long non-coding RNA from Myotis brandtii (Brandt's bat), 92 nucleotides. RefSeq lists it as uncharacterized. The record is from RefSeq and is a predicted model, not a curated record. The transcript has 3 exons. NCBI's taxonomy places the organism in Eukaryota, Metazoa, Chordata, Mammalia, Chiroptera, Vespertilionidae.